GUAAGGAAUAUUGGACAAUGGUCGCAAGACUGAUCCAGCCAUGCCGCGUGCAGGAAGACGGCCCUAUGGGUUGUAAACUGCUUUUGUACCAGAGAAAACCUAUCUACGUGUAGAUAGCUGAUAGUAUGGUAAGAAUAAGCAUCGGCUAACUUCGUGCCAGCAGCCGCGGUAAGACGAAGGAUGCAAGCGUUAUCCGGAUUCAUUGGGUUUAAAGGGUGCGUAGGCGGGCUUGUAAGUCAGUGGUGAAAUCUCUCAGCUUAACUGAGAAACUGCCAUUGAUACUGCAGGCCUAGAGUAUAGAUGACGUUGGCGGAAUAUGACAUGUAGUGGUGAAAUACUUAGAUAUGUCAUAGAACACCGAUUGCGAAGGCAGCUAACGAAACUAUAACUGACGCUGAGGCACGAAAGUGCGGGGAUCAAACA
This 423-nucleotide ribosomal RNA is filed under the name uncultured bacterium. RNAcentral describes it as "bacterial SSU rRNA". It matches the Rfam family "Bacterial small subunit ribosomal RNA", at positions 354 to 774 of the family's 1533-position model. The record is from RNAcentral.